RNAcentral lists this transfer RNA (69 nucleotides) under Ictidomys tridecemlineatus (thirteen-lined ground squirrel). RNAcentral's name for it is "Spermophilus tridecemlineatus (thirteen-lined ground squirrel) tRNA". It matches the Rfam family "tRNA". From Rfam's summary of the family: Transfer RNA (tRNA) molecules are approximately 80 nucleotides in length. Their secondary structure includes four short double-helical elements and three loops (D, anti-codon, and T loops). Further hydrogen bonds mediate the characteristic L-shaped molecular structure. tRNAs have two regions of fundamental functional importance: the anti-codon, which is responsible for specific mRNA codon recognition, and the 3' end, to which the tRNAs corresponding amino acid is attached (by aminoacyl-tRNA synthetases). tRNAs cope with the degeneracy of the genetic code in two manners: having more than one tRNA (with a specific anti-codon) for a particular amino acid; and 'wobble' base-pairing, i.e. permitting non-standard base-pairing at the 3rd anti-codon position. Lineage: Eukaryota; Metazoa; Chordata; Mammalia; Rodentia; Sciuridae. The record is from Rfam by way of RNAcentral.
GGGGUUGUGGCUCAGCGGUAGAGUGCUCACCUAGCACGUGUGAGGCCCUGGAUUAGAUCCCCAGCACCA